UUUCCAAAGGCUUAGCAAAACAAGCAAAUUUCAAAAGGUUUAGCAAAACAAGCAAAUUUCAAAAGGCGCAGCAAGAAGCAGAUUUCAUACAUCAGAAAAUACUCAAAAACAAAACACUAACCACACAUCAAGAUGGUCUCAACCAACAACUCAUUCACGUGUAACAAAACAAAAUUUCAACCUUCAAUACUAUACAGCUUUGAACAGGAGAACAAACAUAAAAGGGUGAGAAAAUACCCUUUCCGGUGCUGGUGAGGAUGUACUAGUUCCCUCGUCGUCAGUUGUGGUUAGAAUUGGUUGUGCGCAGAUGUAGUACUAGUUCCCUCGUUGGUUGUGGUAAGUAGGGGUGGACAUUGGGUCGGUUCGGACGGGUUUGGGCCGAAAAACAACAACCGGCCCAAACCACAGGUGAUUGAAACAGACUCAAUGCAAUCUGCCCAUUGACUCGGUUUGAACGGUUUGCGGGUUCACGGGUUUUCGGGUAAAACGGGCCAAUUGCAUUUUUUUUCUGUGAUACCCAAUUUUUGGGCCUUUUUUUACCUAUUUUGAAGGCAAUUAUUACACC
This 565-nucleotide long non-coding RNA is filed under the name Cicer arietinum (chickpea). RNAcentral describes it as "long non-coding RNA (CARI_LNC002456)". Lineage: Eukaryota; Viridiplantae; Streptophyta; Magnoliopsida; Fabales; Fabaceae. The record is from RNAcentral.